RNAcentral lists this long non-coding RNA (977 nucleotides) under Homo sapiens (human). RNAcentral's name for it is "HSALNT0167250". The record is from RNAcentral. Lineage: Eukaryota; Metazoa; Chordata; Mammalia; Primates; Hominidae.
GUCACCUCAUCAGAGAGAAAUCAAUUAGGAGAGGCUUCACAACGAGAGCUCCUCCUCCCUCCUCCCAGCCACGAUCCACCAAGGGGAACGGAUUAAGACAGAGAUGUCUGGAGACAGAAAGGUUUUUCUGGGUGGAGAUUUCAGCAGCAUUUAGAUUUGGAAGAGCCAGAGGCUGUCUCACUCUGAAAUCUGCAGGUUAAACUGGACGACAAGGAUGGGCGACUGUCACUGGCCUGCCUCUGGAGUCUGAGCUUAGAGAUUCCUCAUGGAAUAAGAAAGGGAUUUGCACAUUUCUCUCAGCUGCCAGAUGUGCAAAGGAUCCACAAUGUGGAGAUGACUCCAGGAAAGGCUUUGGGCUGGUGGACAUGCACAGUUCCUGUGCGCCCAAACUUGUGCCGGGCACCAAGACGAGAAUAAGACAGCAGGGCAGAAGUUGUGGAGAAGCUGAAUUGUCUCUCUGCAAGGAAAAAUUUCCUGACACAAGUAUCUGUCCAGAGAGGAAGAUUCAACUGCAAGAGCUUUCAGCAGGCAAUGGUGUCCAACUAGAAUCGAAACACAUUGUUAUUGUUUUACUUAUUUUUAUAAUUACUUUUUAUUUUGGCAAGUAACGGGUGGUUUCGCAGUUACUGUAGUGCUAGAAGGCUUUUUUAAAAAAACAAUAAACAUACUUGAGUAAGAAAUAGUAAGUUGAUUUAAAGAAAAAUAUCAAGUAAAUAACAUUUUAGGUAGAAUAUGGAUUUGGCAUGAAUUGUGACACUGGUACUCGAAUGUGGAAAGUUUGGGAAACAUGAAUUUAGAGGUUGCUCAGACUCUUGUUGAACCAGUGAUCUCUGAGACCCUUCCAAGGUUAACAAUGUCUGAUAUUCUGGAUGUACAGACAGUAUAGGUCAUAGGAGCUCAGCAAGUGCUAACAUGGACAGGGAAGGCUUUGUGGGACAUGAUCUUGGUCUUAAAGAACGAGUAGGAUUUAAGUGAAG